GACGUAGGGUGCGAGCGUUGUCCGGAUUUAUUGGGCGUAAAGAGCUCGUAGGCGGCUCGUCGCGUCGGUUGUGAAAACUCUAGGCUUAACCUGGAGCUUGCAACCGAUACGGGCGGGCUAGAGUUCGGUAGGGGAGACUGGAAUUCCUGGUGUAGCGGUGAAAUGCGCAGAUAUCAGGAGGAACACCGGUGGCGAAGGCGGGUCUCUGGGCCGAUACUGACGCUGAGGAGCGAAAGCGUGGGGAGCGAACAGG
This 253-nucleotide ribosomal RNA is filed under the name uncultured bacterium. Its description in RNAcentral is "partial 16S ribosomal RNA". It matches the Rfam family "Bacterial small subunit ribosomal RNA", at positions 524 to 776 of the family's 1533-position model. RNAcentral also lists the same sequence under 1 other name. The record is from RNAcentral.